GUAUUGGUGGUUCAGUGGUAGAAUUCUCACCUUUCAUGCAGGAGACUCAGGUUCAAUCCCUGGCCAAUGCA
Molecule: transfer RNA, 71 nt
Organism: Loxodonta africana (African savanna elephant)
Lineage: Eukaryota; Metazoa; Chordata; Mammalia; Proboscidea; Elephantidae
Rfam family: tRNA
About the family: Transfer RNA (tRNA) molecules are approximately 80 nucleotides in length.
Source: Rfam